UACGUAGGGGGCAAGCGUUGUCCGGAAUCAUUGGGCGUAAAGAGCGUGUAGGCGGCUUGGUAAGUCCGCUGUGAAAGUCCAGGGCUCAACCCUGGAAUGCCGGUGGAAACUGUCAAGCUUGAGUCCGGAAGAGGCGAGUGGAAUUCCUGGUGUAGCGGUGAAAUGCGCAGAUAUCAGGAGGAACACCAAUGGCAAAGGCAGCUCGCUGGGACGGUACUGACGCUGAGACGCGAAAGCGUGGGGAGCAAACAGG
Molecule: ribosomal RNA, 253 nt
Filed under: uncultured bacterium
Lineage: Bacteria
Description: partial 16S ribosomal RNA
Rfam family: Bacterial small subunit ribosomal RNA
Source: RNAcentral